RNAcentral lists this long non-coding RNA (354 nucleotides) under Bos taurus (domestic cattle). RNAcentral's name for it is "long non-coding RNA NONBTAT022799". Lineage: Eukaryota; Metazoa; Chordata; Mammalia; Artiodactyla; Bovidae. The record is from RNAcentral.
GAACACAGAGGUGGUAAAUGAAAAGAAAAAGACGAAUCAAGCAGGAGCAUUGUUGCUGUGGGUCCCGUGCUUCCCUAAAACGUAGAGCACAGAUUGUGUGCGGGUACAGAGGUCAGGGGAGAUAACGCAGCUGCUGGCAGAUGAGAUCUUGCUGUUGGCAAUGGGAUGUGGCUUAGAAAUGAAGGGGAGGCAGCCAGGGAACCGGGGUAACAGGAGGAAGACCUCAAAAGCUAGACCAGGGUUAUGUCAGGUACUUGCCAAGGGAUGGUCAGGAAUCUACUUAAAUUGAAAGAUUUUGGUAUAGAAUGUAGAGGAGAGGAAAGAUUGGUUUUCAUUGCCAAAUCGGUCUCUAUG